GGGGGGGGGGGGGGGGGGGGGGGGGGGGGGCGGGGGGGGGGGGGGAGGGGCUGCGGGGGGGGUGGGUGUGGGUGAGUGGCGGACGGGGGGGUGACACGUGGGUGACCUGCCGCCUUCUUCGGGGUAACCGCGUUGACUGGUGGCUAAUACGGGGUAGUCUGGGUCUGUCGCAUGGUUGUUCUUGGGAAGAUAUUGUUUCGGUGUGGGCGGUGGUCGCGGCCUGUCAGCUUGUUGGUGGGGUGCUGGCCUACUACGGCGGUGACGGGUAGCCGGCCUGAGGGGGUGGACGGUCACACUGGGACUGAGACACGGCCCAGACUCCUACGGGAGGCAGCAGGGGGGAAUAUUGCACAAUGGGCGCAAGCCUGAUGCAGCGACGCCGCGUGAGGGAUGGAGGCCUUCGGGUUGUGAACCUCUUUCGCCAGUGAAGCAGGCCUGCCUCGUUUGUGGGUGGGUUGACGGUAGCUGGAUAAGAAGCGCCGGCUAACUACGUG
This 494-nucleotide ribosomal RNA is filed under the name uncultured bacterium. RNAcentral describes it as "partial 16S ribosomal RNA". The stretch from base 59 to 494 matches the Rfam family "Bacterial small subunit ribosomal RNA", at positions 39 to 507 of the family's 1533-position model. The record is from RNAcentral.